GAUGAAGAACGCAGCGAAAUGCGAUACUUGGUGUGAAUUGCAGAAUCCCGUGAACCAUCGAGUCUUUGAACGCAAGUUGCGCCUCAAGCCAUUAGGUUGAGGGCACGUCUGCCUGGGCGUCACAUAUCGUUGCCUGAUGCCAGUUUCCUCGUGAUGGGUGACUUUGCAGGGCGAAUGAUGGCUUCCCGUGAGCAUUGUUGCCUCAUGGUUGGUUGAAAAUUGAGUCCUUGGUAGGGAGCGCCGUGAUAGAUGGUGGUUGAGUGACGAACGAGACCCAAUCAUGUGAGACCCCUACCGAAUUUGGCCUUCAUGACCCACAUGCGUCUUUGGAACGCUCAUGACGAGACCUCAGGUCAGGCGGGGCUACCCGCUGAGUUUAAGCAUAUCAAUAAGCGGAGGA
This 400-nucleotide unclassified non-coding RNA is filed under the name soil metagenome. Its description in RNAcentral is "partial contains 5.8S ribosomal RNA, internal transcribed spacer 2, and large subunit ribosomal RNA". The stretch from base 1 to 122 matches the Rfam family "5.8S ribosomal RNA", at positions 35 to 154 of the family's 154-position model. The record is from RNAcentral.